GAACAUGGUUUGACCACACAAUGGAA
Molecule: non-coding RNA, 26 nt
Filed under: Homo sapiens (human)
Lineage: Eukaryota; Metazoa; Chordata; Mammalia; Primates; Hominidae
Source: RNAcentral